GGUCCCUGGAAAUAGCCCCACUUUAGGACCGUACCCUAAACCGACACAGGUGGACUGGUAGAGCAUACCAAGGCGCUUGAGAGAACGAUGUUGAAGGAACUCGGCAAAAUACCUCCGUAAGUUCGCGAGAAGGAGGCCCGGUUCCUAGGCAACUAGGGGCUGGGGGCACAAACCAGGGGGUGGCGACUGUUUACUAAAAACACAGGGCUCUGCGAAGUCGCAAGACGACGUAUAGGGUCUGACGCCUGCCCGGUGCCUGAAGGUUAAAAGGAGGGGUGAGAGCUCCGAAUUGAAGCCCAGGUAAACGGCGGCCGUAACUAUAACGGUCCUAAGGUAGCGAAAUUCCUUGUCGGGUAAGUUCCGACCUGCACGAAUGGCGUAACGACUUCCCCGCUGUCUCCAACAUCGACUCAGCGAAAUUGAAUUGCCUGUCAAGAUGCAGGCUUCCCGCGGUUAGACGGAAAGACCCCGUGCACCUUUACUACAGCUUCACACUGGCAUCAGGCACAACAUGUGCAGGAUAGGUGGUAGGCUUCGAAGCAGGGACGCCAGUUCCUGUGGAGCCUUCCUUGAGAUACCACCCUUGUUCUGCUUGAUGUCUAACCGCGGUCCGUUAUCCGGAUCCGGGACCCUGUGUGGCGGGUAGUUUGACUGGGGCGGUCGCCUCCUAAAGCGUAACGGAGGCGCGCGAAGGUUGGCUCAGAGCGGUCGGAAAUCGCUCGUUGAGUGCAAUGGCAGAAGCCAGCCUGACUGCAAGACUGACAAGUCGAGCAGAGUCGAAAGACGGCCAUAGUGAUCCGGUGGUCCCAAGUGGGAGGGCCAUCGCUCAACGGAUAAAAGGUACGCCGGGGAUAACAGGCUGAUACUGCCCAAGAGUCCAUAUCGACGGCAGUGUUUGGCACCUCGAUGUCGGCUCAUCUCAUCCUGGGGCUGGAGCAGGUCCCAAGGGUACGGCUGUUCGCCGUUUAAAGAGGUACGUGAGCUGGGUUUAGAACGUCGUGAGACAGUUCGGUCCCUAUCUGCCGUGGGUGUAGGAUACUUGAGAGGAGUUGCCCCUAGUACGAGAGGACCGGGGUGAACGAUCCACUGGUGGACCAGUUGUCGUGCCAACGGCAGUGCUGGGUAGCUAUGAUCGGACAGGAUAACCGCUGAAGGCAUCUAAGCGGGAAGCCCCCCUCAAAACAAGGUAUCCCUGAGGGCCGUGGAAGACCACCACGUCGAUAGGCCGGAGAUGUAAGCAUGGUAACAUGUUCAGUUGACCGGUACUAAUGGCCCGAUAGGCUUGAUUUG
RNAcentral lists this ribosomal RNA (1290 nucleotides) under Salipiger thiooxidans. Its description in RNAcentral is "Citreicella thiooxidans Bacterial large subunit ribosomal RNA". It matches the Rfam family "Bacterial large subunit ribosomal RNA", at positions 1604 to 2925 of the family's 2925-position model. Lineage: Bacteria; Pseudomonadati; Pseudomonadota; Alphaproteobacteria; Rhodobacterales; Roseobacteraceae. The record is from Rfam by way of RNAcentral.